CCUACGGGGGGCAGCAGUGGGGAAUAUUGCACAAUGGGGGAAACCCUGAUGCAGCCAUGCCGCGUGUGUGAAGAAGGCCUUCGGGUUGUAAAGCACUUUCAGUUGUGAGGAAAAGUUAGUAGUUAAUACCUGCUAGCCGUGACGUUAACAACAGAAGAAGCACCGGCUAACUCCGUGCCAGCAGCCGCGGUAAUACGGAGGGUGCGAGCGUUAAUCGGAAUUACUGGGCGUAAAGCGCACGCAGGCGGUUUGUUAAGCUAGAUGUGAAAGCCCCGGGCUCAACCUGGGAUGGUCAUUUAGAACUGGCAGACUAGAGUCUUGGAGAGGGGAGUGGAAUUCCAGGUGUAGCGGUGAAAUGCGUAGAUAUCUGGAGGAACAUCAGUGGCGAAGGCGACUCCCUGGCCAAAGACUGACGCUCAUGUGCGAAAGUGUGGGUAGCGAACAGGAUUAGAUACCCCCGUAGUC
This 465-nucleotide ribosomal RNA is filed under the name uncultured bacterium. RNAcentral's name for it is "bacterial SSU rRNA". It matches the Rfam family "Bacterial small subunit ribosomal RNA", at positions 338 to 795 of the family's 1533-position model. The record is from RNAcentral.